This 28-nucleotide non-coding RNA is filed under the name Rattus norvegicus (Norway rat). The record is from RNAcentral. Lineage: Eukaryota; Metazoa; Chordata; Mammalia; Rodentia; Muridae.
CUGGCUGUUUCAUGUCUCUGGUUGAUUG